Non-coding RNA from Rattus norvegicus (Norway rat), 2787 nucleotides. NCBI's taxonomy places the organism in Eukaryota, Metazoa, Chordata, Mammalia, Rodentia, Muridae. The record is from RefSeq and is a predicted model, not a curated record.
GAAGUGAUUAUCAUCUCUGUUACAGCUGUCCUUUGGAAUUAGAACAAUCCCUGACAAAACCAACAGUGUGUGUGUGUGUGUGUGUGUGUGUGUGUGUGUGUGUGUGUGUGUGUUAUUUGAGCUUUUUCGAACACACUUUUAAUGACCUCAAAUGGGCAUUAAUGCUCCAGCUGUUAGCACAAUCCUGUUAGCCUUAAGCACAAAGCUUUGACGUGAUUAAUUACCACAAACAAGAUAAAUUAGGUAAUUCCAAAUGUUUCUACAAAUAACAAAAUAUUUCUCCACCUAAGGAAAAGGACUUUAAAGCUUUGCCAGAGAAUUCGAUGUUCAAAUUGAACUCUGGUAUUUGAAGGUUCUUAAUUCUCAAGACUCAGGUUUCACAUUAGCAGUUGUCUUAAAGCUUUCUCUAAUGAAGGUUGAAUCACUGUUGUAAAAACACCUGUAUGUUUAAAGUGAUAUGAAAGUAUCCAUCAAACCAAUUUAAGUCCCCUGUUUAAGUUCUGUGGGAGCACUGCUUCUCUGUUCUAGAUGCAUUCCUUCUUUAGUGACAUUGAGUGUACAGUGAGCAUAUCAAAGCAUUCACUGGACACUGGGGAUGAAGUAGGGAGAAAGCCAGGAGCUGCACCUCUCCUUAUUAUCACUCAGAAUGGUAGCAUCUGCUGAAGAAAGCCCAGGCCUUCACUGGAGACAGGAAAGCAUUCCUUAUUUAGUACUCUCAUGAUAGGUACAGGGGUGGUUGCCAUGAGGAUUAAUGGAAGAAAGGAGUUUGGGAUCAACUCCAAAAGAGGUUCUCUGUCUACAUAGGUGAGGGAUACUUUUGGAUGGACUACUGCUAACCAAGUAAGGAAAUUCCUAGUUAAACUGAUGUAAGAUUUUUCUGCUGAAGGCAUGGCAUGUGGUCAGGUAUUACCUGGAAGACAGGGAGUGGAGGGUAAGGAAUUUGAUUAGAUAUCAGGAUUGAGCACUCUUGUUACAACUGGCCUCUUAAGGACGUGCCCAACGAUGAAGUGUAGCUGGACUCUGAUAAGCAAGUCUUUGUCACAUUCUAGCAGGAGAAUCAAGCAACCAUACAAGACAAUGUAGUGCAAGUAGUGGGUUGCAUGGAAAACUGAAGCCAAGUCAAUGAACCCAGAGAGAAGAGGAAGAGACUGCACAGGCAUUUGUAUUUAGGAUGUGAGAGAAAUGCAGCACUUGAGCAUCGUGUAAAAGAUGACUUAUAUGAAUGCACGAAGGCACUUCUGAAAUGUUAGGGAUGAAUCCAUCUCGGACAGAAGGAACAACAAGUACUCAACACACACGGCACACCAGAGGACCAGUGAGAAAGCUCCUCCAGAGAUUUGACAUGACUAAUUAGUGCAAACGAGAAAGAGGGUGGAGAAGUUCACAGUUAGAAGUGAUGCUCCUGGGGUUGGGGAUUUAGCUCAGUGGUAGAGCGCUUGCCUAGGAAGCGCAAGGCCCUGGGUUCGGUCCCCAGCUCUGCAAAAAAGAAAAAAGAAAAAAAAAAAAGAUGUGAUGCUUCUAGAGACUUUCAAACAGGAGAAUGACGUGAUGAAAUGACUAAUGUAAAGGGUCCUUUGACAUGUUUAUGUGGAAAGUUGUCUAAGGAGAGCAACGGUACAAGAAUCGAUGUAAGACUACUGUAGACUAGAUGAGAGCUGAUGUGGGUUUACUGGGAUGGUCUAGUGCAGAUGAAAGGAGGCAUUAAAGCGCAGUAGGAAGACUAAAGAUAGUACCAUAGGGUCGCUGGUGGUUGGAAGGAAGGUAUAAAGAACACAAAGAGAGGGGCUGGGGAUUUAGCUCAGUGGUAGAGCGCUUGCCUAGGAAGCACAAGGCCCUGGGUUUGGUCCCCAGCUCCGAAAAAAAAGAACCAAAAAAAAAAAAAAAAAAAAAAGAACACAAAGAGAAGAACCAAAAACUCAGAGCUCAGGGGCUUGAACCUAAGGCCUCCUGCAUUCUGGGCGACCUCUCUACAUAGCUCAACUGAAUGGUUUUCCUUUUGGUUUCACAAAAAGAUUAUAAUUUUUUUCUGAAAAAUUUGAGGAGGUGAUGGGCAUCGCUGGAUGAGAAACUUCUGCUUUGACUGUGGUAAGUUUAUGGUGCCUUAUAGGAAUCCAGCAAACCUUGCCAACUGAGUGGUCAACCACAAAAGGGCAAAAUUGGGAGGAAAAGUUUAAUCCCAAAGUGUAAGUACAGGGCCACUUUUCUCACUACUCUGACAAAGUAGCUGAUAACAGCAACUUAAGGAGAGGUUUGUCUUACCUCACAGUUGAGGGUGUGGUUGAUUCUGCAGAAUGGUGAGGCAGCUCAUUACACUGCAUCCACACUCAGGAGGUGUGGAGGUGGGGGUCAGAGGUAGCCUCCCUUUUCCCUUUUCCCUUUUCCAGGACACCAGUCCAUGGAUCGGUGUUACCCACAUUUAAGGGUGAAGAAACCUAUAUCAUGUUGGUAUGCUGAUGAGCAGUAAAGGGAAACCUGCUAAUGUAUAAAAGAAUGAGUAACUGGAGAGCAUAUAGCAAUCAUCUCAGCCUGACAGCCUUCCAGGACUUCAUCUGUCUGCUUUCUAGAAAAUUACACUGCAGUGAAAACCGCAUGUAUUCAGUAAAUUUAAAAACUGAGCUAAGCACUAUGCUAGGUAGAUGGGAAGGACCGACGACACAGUGCAGAACUGUGCGUUAGAGGCUCUUGCUCUCGAUCAGGGAUCAAAUAAUGAGGACCCAAUCCAGUAGAAGCCCCUGUGAGGAAGGAAGUGAGGAGAAUGGAAUUGAGAAAUAAAGAGAAUAAACAGGG